Molecule: ribosomal RNA, 253 nt
Filed under: uncultured bacterium
Lineage: Bacteria
Description: partial 16S ribosomal RNA
Rfam family: Bacterial small subunit ribosomal RNA
Source: RNAcentral
UACGUAGGAUCCAAGCGUUGUCCGGAUUUACUGGGUGUAAAGGGUGCGCAGGCGGACUUGUUAGUCAGAGGUGAAAUCUCACGGCUCAACCGUGAAACUGCCUUUGAUACUGCAGGUCUUGAAUUGGGGAGAGAGUUGUGGAAUUCCGAGUGUAGCAGUGAAAUGUGUAGAUAUUCGGAAGAACACCAGUGGCGAAGGCAGCAACUUGGCCCUAUAUUGACGCUCAGGCACGAAAGCAUGGGGAUCAAACAGG